Long non-coding RNA from Cebus imitator (Panamanian white-faced capuchin), 4147 nucleotides. RefSeq lists it as uncharacterized. Lineage: Eukaryota; Metazoa; Chordata; Mammalia; Primates; Cebidae. The record is from RefSeq and is a predicted model, not a curated record. The transcript has 3 exons.
UAGAAAGUAUGUAGAACCAAAUCUUCAUUGUAAUUAUCUCUGAAUGAUAAUGGUUUUUACUUCUGUAUUGUAUAAACUGUUUAUAUUUAAAAUCUUAGAAAAUGUUCCUAGGAAAGAAAAAGGAAAGACUGUGAUAGCAAGCAAAACAUAGAUGGAGUCCACAUGGUCCCUCUCUGAAUCUCUCUCUGAUGUGUAUAUUUCACUGAAUCUAUGAACUAGGCUGGAGAGAAACUCUAGAUGGAGGAAGAUUCAAUUGCUUUCUGGAACAGAAGGUGUACCUACUGUUUUGUAGUUUUGCUGAUUUUGUUUUGUUUUCAAUCAGAGCAACAUUGACAUGCACCCAAAUAUAUCAUAUUUAUUUUAAUCAACUGGUAUAGUGGGAACAAAAUCUUUAUACACUCAUGUAUGCUAUAACACAUACAACCCCUACAUGCACAUACACACUUAUCCUCCCCCAAGUCUACUGAUGUGUUUGUUGGCCAAAAACUGUCGGGAAGUGUUAUGCUUUUUUUCCAGUUUUUUAGCCUACAUCUGGCAAAUUGAGAAGUAUGAGUAUGUACGUACAAGAGAAUUUUGCAAAACUAUGGCAAUCUUUCUUUGCUCUAAAUUUAUAAAAUUUUAAUGAAUUGGUGCUGUCUUACAUUCUAGUUGUUUUCAGGAAUUAAAGGAGGUUAUCCAUUGAUUAAAGAGACAUUUUAUGUGUGUGUGUGUGUUUUUAAAUAACUUACUAUUUGAUGUUUGCAAUGUCCUGGCAACACAUAGGCAUUGUACUAUUCCCCACCCAAAAUUACUUGAUUAGAAUAAUAACAUUGCUAUUCCUCAUAGUAGCUCAUCUUGUCAUUCUUCUUUGUAAUCAAUAAAGAGAUCAUAGUAGUUUUAAAAAAUACUUUGAAACAGAACAUUGAUUUAUUUGGAACUGGUUUUUAAUGUGAGAAUUCAGGGCCAUUCAACACACCUAGGCAGUUUUAUUUUCUUUGUAAAUCCAUUUGAUAAAUCACCACUUUAUGCUUAAAUAGAGAAGCAUUUGUCAGUGUAACAAAGUGGAAAACAAAACAAAACAAAACAAAACAAAACAAAACAAAACAAAACAUAGGCUUUGAGUUCAUACUGGCUUUAGUUGGAAUUCUGACUCUACUGUGUCCAAGCUGUAUGAUUUGGGGAAGGUUACUUUUCUGAGCCUCAAUUUAUUUAUCUGUACAAUCAGAAUAUUAAGGAUGAAGGGAAUGACAUUUGUAAAAGAAAAUGAUAAACUAGUAUAGAGUUUGAAACUGAAUUGGUUUAAUGUCUCUAAUUAUGUAUACUAUGCUAUAACCAUUGUUGUUUUCCCAUACUAGGGGCUUGGUAUUUCACUGGACUGAAUUAGAAGGUAGGAGGCUUAGAGUCCAGCCUAAGUUUGACUGUUACCUGGCUGAUGUGAUCCUGAGGCUGUUCAUCUUCAUCUGUAACAUGAGGAGGCAGCUGUCAGCAUACUUCCAAUUGAAUGUUUUGAGGACAUCCGGCUUUUAUAUUGACAUAAGCAUGAACCCACCCCAGAUCCCACGUGGAAGUUCUGAAGGUAUACCUCAGGCUCAGCUGUGAGCCCAGUUCUGGAGGCCAAAACUCCCAGAUCAAGGUCCUGUAGAGUUGGUUCCAGGUAAGGGUUCUCUUCCUGGCUUGCAGAUGACUACCUUCACAAGGUGUCCUCCCAUGGUAGAGAAGGAGAGAGAGUGAACAAGCUCUCUAGUAUCUCUUCUUAUAGGGAUACUAAUCCUAUAUGACCAAGGCCCCACCUUUUUUUAAAUCUUAUUUAACUUUAAUUACUUCCAGGGAGGCCCCAUGUCUAAAUACAGCCAUGCUGACAGGUUAAGUCUUCAAAAUGGGAAUUUUGGGGGAACACAAACUCAAUGCAUAAGAGUUGGGCUAUGAACUUAGGGGCUUCAGCCAACAAAUCAUGUGUGUGUGUGUGCAGGCGUGCACGCACACCCUUGUGUAUUUCCUUCACCAUAUUAGAUCUAAGAGGCAUUUUUUCCCCAAUGUUAUGAAUCUGUGACUUCCUCUUAACACUGAGGACAUAAACAGGUCUGGCAUUUUGGGUCUCUGGCUACUCUUCCUUUCCCAGCUUGUCUUGAGGACUUGCUGACAUGCAGUCCUUUCCACAGUGCUUUCCUUGGGCUUAUGUACAGUCCAUCUGUACCCAUUUGGGGCUUGUCACUUGGGAUCUUUAGUUUUGAGGACAAGGUGGGAUAAUAGUGGAGAUCAUGACCUGGAGGCUAGUUCUAUUUAAAAAGAGUUGGAUGCCUGGGGCAGGUCCCCAUUGCCCUGUCCAGGAUGAGACUGCAGCCUGCUCCAGGACCAUUUAGAGGAGUAGGAAGGAGGUGGUGAAGGUAGCCCAGGUGGCAGCCAGGACUACAGGGCUGGGAAGGGAAUUUCGCCCAACAGCAGCAGCUGCUAUUCCAUGUUGGGCUUCCUGUCUUCUUACCCUCCCAAUCAAGGAGCACAGUUAAUGUGUGGGGCUGGUGUGCCCCUUUCCUGGCUUCCUCCAUCUAUGCCUCACGUUCAAAUUACUAGGGGGACAUUUAAAUAUUAUUAGUGCUCACCCCAUCCUGAGAGAUUCUGCUUUAACUGGAGUGGGACUUAGGGUCCCUAUUUUUUGAAAGCUCCUUAAGUGAUUUCAACAUGUGGCCAAGGAUGAAAAUUGGACACAUUCCCUCUGCCCCAUUUUCGAGGGGGGUGGGGCAAAUGCUGUGAUUCCCAGGCUCCUACAGCCCCAUCCAAUUUGAUUCUCUCAAGACCUGUGGGAUAGAAGGUAUCAUUACCUUGCAUUUGGCCUGUGAGUUGGGAGGCUUUUGUGGGUAGGCAGGUUUAGGUAGAAAGAAAGGCCAGUCUUGGUAUAAGGAAAUCAGGAAGGAAUGAUAUUGUGUUCUUGCUUUUUAGAGCAGACAGGAUUUCAUUCAGUUAUUCAUUGAACAGUAUUUACUGAACAGCCCCUCCAUGCCAGGUGCCAUACCAGGGGAUGGAUUAAGAGCUAGCCCUUGACACGUGACACCCUCUGGGGCUCAGCCUUAGUGAUUCUUUGGAGAAGCGUGUGUUGUCAGAGCACUGUGGAACUGGAAAAGAUACCGCCAGGCAUGGUUUUCUUUGCCUACACGACUCGAAUACUGAAAGAAUGAAAGUAAUUUAUUCUUCCAUUUAAAAUGAAGCCUAGUCAGAAUUUGUAAUCUUGCUGAGAUGUAAAUUCACAAACCAUAGCAAAGGAUAAUUAUGGCAAAUUGAAAUUAUAGCUUGAUGACCAGGAAGAGAGAACACAUCACGCUAGACUCACAAAUUCUACUCUGGCAAAGCUGAUGGCUCUGACACCCAUGAAGUCCAUCCAUCUCUGCGCAGGGACAUUCCGCUAAACCAAGCCAACUGAUACCUCACAUUCUGAAGAUUUUUUGAAUAUUAUUACUAAGGCAUUUUCCAUUGUUUUGUUUUAAUUCAAGUGGGUUUUUAUUUGAGACUUAGAGGUCAUAAGUUUUAUAUCCUCAGGCUUGAUUUAAACAGCCACGGCAGAUAGUAAACAACGGUCUCAUUUUCUUGUAACAAUAGUUCAUGACAUUGUGGUAAGAAACUACGCUUAGCAGCUGAACAUAACAAAAAAUCGCAUGGUCUUUGGAGUUGAACUGGCCCAAAUAUGAAUCCUGGUUCUUUCAUUUACUUUGUUGGGAUCUAGGGCAAGUUACUUAAGCAUUUUAAGCCUCUGUUUCUUCAUUUUAAAAAUGGGGAUAGCAAUGUGAAAGAGUAUAUAUAUGCCUUGAGCAGUGGCUAGUACGUAACUGGUUUUUGAUAAAUAUUCCUUUCUCCAUGUGUAAUGACAUGACACAUGGCACAUUUCAGGACCCUGGUUUAAGGAUAAGUGAAGCACACAAGAGGUCUUGGUUGAAAUUUUGCAUUGGAAAAGGAGAUUUUAUAAUUUCCACCAUGAAUUAUAAAUAUCUAAGGAAAAGAAAUGGUGUGUUUCUUAUGCUUGUAGAUUGAUUUUAAUCCUGUACGCUUGUGAAUAGUUGAAUAGUAGGCAGACGCAACGGCUUUAUGUUAAAGUAACAAGACAAACAAUAAUACCUGUCAAUAGAGCCUGCCUUCUGUGCCACACACUUUGUAUCUUCUUAUUAUUUUUAAGGCAGAGUCU